Molecule: ribosomal RNA, 484 nt
Filed under: uncultured bacterium
Lineage: Bacteria
Description: partial 16S ribosomal RNA
Rfam family: Bacterial small subunit ribosomal RNA
Source: RNAcentral
AGUGAACGCUGGCGGCAGGCCUAACACAUGCAAGUCGAGCGGCAGCGGGUCCUUCGGGAUGCCGGCGAGCGGCGGACGGGUGAGGAAUACAUCGGAAUCUGCCCUGUCGUGGGGGAUAACCUAGGGAAACUUAGGCUAAUACCGCAUACGACCUACGGGUGAAAGCGGGGGAUCGCAAGACCUCGCGCGACAGGAUGAGCCGAUGUCCGAUUAGCUAGUUGGCGGGGUAAAGGCCCACCAAGGCGACGAUCGGUAGCUGGUCUGAGAGGAUGAUCAGCCACACUGGGACUGAGACACGGCCCAGACUCCUACGGGAGGCAGCAGUGGGGAAUAUUGGACAAUGGGCGCAAGCCUGAUCCAGCCAUGCCGCGUGGGUGAAGAAGGCCUUCGGGCUGUAAAGCCCUUUUGUCCGGGAAGAAAUCGUCUGGGCUAAUACCCCGGGCGGAUGACGGUACCGGAAGAAUAAGCACCGGCUAACUUCGUG